GGUUUAGGGUGGCAGAGAGCGAGUGCCUUGGGUUUAAGCCCCAAAUACAAGACGUACGUUUUCCCUAAAA
This 70-nucleotide transfer RNA is filed under the name Forficula lesnei. Its description in RNAcentral is "tRNA-Leu". The record is from RNAcentral. Lineage: Eukaryota; Metazoa; Arthropoda; Insecta; Dermaptera; Forficulidae.